RNAcentral lists this long non-coding RNA (1238 nucleotides) under Aotus nancymaae (Ma's night monkey). Its description in RNAcentral is "lncRNA (ENSANAG00000038540.1)". Lineage: Eukaryota; Metazoa; Chordata; Mammalia; Primates; Aotidae. The record is from RNAcentral.
CUGAGAAUUGUUUGGGGUUCUUUUAUUUUCAUUCCAGGCCUGCCCUCUUUCUAAAUGACCUUCAAAUUUGUUUUUGCCAGCCUUCUUCUUUAACCUCAAGUGACACAGCCUGUGUUCCAGAGAUAGUAGAGGAGAAAAUAUGUUCAAUGAUUUUUUAUCAUUUCUAAACACAUGAGCAGAGGAAUAUCUGAAAAAUGUUUUCAUCUGACUAAUUAGGUUGGAAAUCUCAAGAGAACAGUCCUAUUUGCUAUAUUUCUAAUGGAAAUGUUUCUGUUUCUGGUUGAGAAUCUUGCAAGAACAGAUUUCUCCUUCGACACUUCCUCUUGAACUUCAAGUAGGAAAAAAAUAAAGCAACUUUUUCUUUCUCAUCAUUUGGGAACUACAAACUUGAGUGGCCAUAUCCAGUAACAUAGCCUACUGCGUCGUAUUUACUGACAAACCCAGCAUGACAAGAGAAACAUGGGACCUACUCUUCAUUUGCAUUGAUUCCAGCCAAGAGCUUCAGUUUUCAUGCCUUGCUUCAGAAUUAUUGGUUUACCCAGAGGGUAACCGUGGAUUUAGACUUCACAUAGCUUGCAUCGCUGCUCCUGUCUCCGUGGGAUUCACAAUAAGGAGAUUUUGACAUCAACUCUGCUUAGGGGGUGAAGAAGAGUGCUUACCAGAUUCCCUUCUGGUUUGGAGAAAGAGUUUCUCUUGUGGAUGUCAUCUCUAUCAUCCCUUAGUGAAAAAAUUUUCAAGAGAAUCCUAAGGUGAAGAGAGCCUUGGAAGUCAUCUGGCCCAAUUUCCUCAUACAAUUCAAAGCUUCUUUGUAAGGUAGGGUGCCAUUUACUUUUAUAAGGCCAACUUUGGGGAGUUUACUACUUUGUAAAGCCACUUAUCGAAUAUUUACAGCUACAAUUCUGAAGAAAUACUUGAUACAACUCUUUGAAUGACCAGUUUUGCCCAGUAAAGCCUUAAAAUUAUUUUUUAGUUACCUCAUGUAUUAAAUUGUUCCUUUGUUUGUUCACUCAAAAAUAUUAAUUAAGCCAGGCUUCCUUAUUUAGCUUUGAAAUUGCAGUCCUCGAUGGUUGUGAAUGCAUGCUUGUUUCUACAAACCCCAUUGCUUCUAGUUCAUAUGAAAUUUGCAGGUAAUUAAAACUCUUUAUUCUCUAAGAACUGUUGCAUAGUCAGAUCUGUACUAUUUAACCUGCAGUUAAACUUUUCCCUUAAAGUGAAGCAUUGAAUUGUUCAGUUUUGAC